GUGCUUGCUUCGGCAGCAUCUAUACUAAAAUUUGAAUGAUACAGAGAAGAUUGGCAUGGCCCAUUCACAAGGAUGACAUGCAAAUUCGUGAAGCGUUCCAUAUUUUA
Molecule: small nuclear RNA, 107 nt
Filed under: Salvator merianae (Argentine black and white tegu)
Lineage: Eukaryota; Metazoa; Chordata; Lepidosauria; Squamata; Teiidae
Source: RNAcentral